Molecule: ribosomal RNA, 253 nt
Filed under: uncultured bacterium
Lineage: Bacteria
Description: partial 16S ribosomal RNA
Rfam family: Bacterial small subunit ribosomal RNA
Source: RNAcentral
UACAGAGGGUGCAAGCGUUGUUCGGAAUUAUUGGGCGUAAAGCGCGUGUAGGCGGCUUUGCAAGUCGGGUGUGAAAGCCCUCAGCUUAACUGAGGAAGUGCGCCCGAAACUGCAGAGCUUGAAUACCGGAGAGGAUGGCGGAAUUCCCCAAGUAGAGGUGAAAUUCGUAGAUAUGGGGAGGAACACCGGUGGCGAAGGCGGCCAUCUGGACGGCUAUUGACGCUGAGACGCGAAAGCGUGGGGAGCGAACAGG